UUCAGAUUGCAGGCUGCAACUCGCCUGCAUGAAGUUGGAAUUGCUAGUAAUCGCGAAUCAGAAUGUCGCGGUGAAUACGUUCCCGGGCCUUGUACACACCGCCCGUCACACCAUGAGAGUCGAUAACACCCGAAGCCUGUGAGCUAACCGCAAGGGGGCAGCAGUCGAAGGUGGGUCCGGUAAUUGGGGUGAAGUCGUAACAAGGUAAC
RNAcentral lists this ribosomal RNA (209 nucleotides) under uncultured bacterium. Its description in RNAcentral is "partial 16S ribosomal RNA". It matches the Rfam family "Bacterial small subunit ribosomal RNA", at positions 1292 to 1500 of the family's 1533-position model. The record is from RNAcentral.